Long non-coding RNA from Micropterus salmoides (largemouth bass), 552 nucleotides. RefSeq lists it as uncharacterized. The record is from RefSeq and is a predicted model, not a curated record. The transcript is spliced from 3 exons. Lineage: Eukaryota; Metazoa; Chordata; Actinopteri; Centrarchiformes; Centrarchidae.
UGUGUGAAACGGACUGGGAGCAAAUAAAAAUUAUUAAACACAUUUCAAAGUAAGUAGGCUUACUGUAAAAAUCUGUACACUGUUAGAAAUUACCAGCAUUUCACAAUAAUUAAAAGUAUUAUUUUACAGUAACUUGUUGUAAAUGAGUUUCCCUGUAAUAUCCCGAUGAAUACCUGUAAAAACUACAGUAUCCUUGGAUUUUACAGCAUUUAACUCUUAUUUUAUAGUAAAUCUUGCAAUCUAAAACCUGCUGUUAUAUCACAACAAGGUCUGUAAUAUCACAGCAACACAGUGAAAAAAUUAAGGAUUUCACAGCAUUAAACAGUAUUAUUACAGUGUGCCAUGACAUAACUGAACUGUUUUGAACUGAAGGCUCCGUCGUGUCCCUCUUCUAUUCCGGGCUGAAUGGAGAAGGUCAUCCUGUUCAGUGUCAGGCUAAGAGUGAGGAGAAUUAGAUUAGGUGUGUCAGGUGGGGCCCAGCAGAUUGGCCAGAGGGGGAGACCGAGGCAACGUUGGAGAAUAUGAAGAGGGAUCUGCUGAACAUCUACUCAG